RNAcentral lists this ribosomal RNA (458 nucleotides) under uncultured bacterium. Its description in RNAcentral is "partial 16S ribosomal RNA". It matches the Rfam family "Bacterial small subunit ribosomal RNA", at positions 338 to 795 of the family's 1533-position model. The record is from RNAcentral.
CCUACGGGAGGCAGCAGUAGGGAAUAUUGCUCAAUGGGGGAAACCCUGAAGCAGCAACGCCGCGUGAGUGAAGAAGUAUUUCGGUAUGUAAAGCUCUAUCAGCAGGGAAGAAAUAGCGACCUUUGGGUCGCCAGACGGUACCUGAUUAAGAAGCCCCGGCUAACUACGUGCCGGCAGCCGCGGUAAUACGUAGGGGGCAAGCGUUAUCCGGAUUUACUGGGUGUAAAGGGAGCGUAGACGGCAGCGCAAGUCUGAAGUGAAAUGCCGGGGCUUAACCCCGGAACUGCUUUGGAAACUGUGCAGCUAGAGUGCAGGAGAGGUAAGUGGAAUUCCUAGUGUAGCGGUGAAAUGCGUAGAUAUUAGGAGGAACACCAGUGGCGAAGGCGGCUUACUGGACUGUAACUGACGUUGAGGCUCGAAAGCGUGGGGAGCAAACAGGAUUAGAUACCCGAGUAGUC